CACGUAGGGCGCAAGCGUUGUCCGGAAUUAUUGGGCGUAAAGAGCUCGUAGGUGGUUUGUUACGUCUGCUGUGAAAACCUAGGGCUUAACCCUGGGCUUGCAGUGGAUACGGGCAGACUAGAGGUAGGUAGGGGAGAAUGGAAUUCCUGGUGUAGCGGUGAAAUGCGCAGAUAUCAGGAGGAACACCGGUGGCGAAGGCGGCAUCCUGGACCGACACUGACGCUGAGGAGCGAAAGCCAGGGGAGCAAACGGG
This 253-nucleotide ribosomal RNA is filed under the name uncultured bacterium. RNAcentral's name for it is "partial 16S ribosomal RNA". It matches the Rfam family "Bacterial small subunit ribosomal RNA", at positions 524 to 776 of the family's 1533-position model. The record is from RNAcentral.